RNAcentral lists this long non-coding RNA (217 nucleotides) under Musa acuminata (dwarf banana). RNAcentral describes it as "long non-coding RNA (MACU_LNC007066)". The record is from RNAcentral. Lineage: Eukaryota; Viridiplantae; Streptophyta; Magnoliopsida; Zingiberales; Musaceae.
UUACUUUUGAUUCCCAAGCUUUAGAAAGUGAUCGUAAAACUUUACUAACAAGUUCAAAAUUUGAGAAACAUUUGCCAAGAGCUUGUAAACCAUUGAUGACAUCCGUAAAACGGGUGUACAUGUCAACAAUGGUUUCGCUCGGCUUCAUUCGAAAAAGCUCGAAAUCAUGUAUUAAAAUGUUAACUUUCGAGUCUUUGACUCUACUAGUUCCCUCGUG